ACCUAGAUGUUUUGAUCUGAAAACACUCAAUCUCCUACACGAGAGCCAAGUUUGGAUUCACUAUCGGCAUGGCCAAGUCCAUGAAAAAUUUCCAUGCACUAGCCUUAUUGUAUGUGCUUCUUCUCAUGUACUUUGCUACCCAUGCACAAUGCCAAAUAAAGGAAGAUGUGGAUAAUGAGAAGAUCAAUUUACCUGGAGGACUAUGCUCCUAUAAAGUAAAACUUCGACCAUGUGGUCACGGGUAUUGCUUCUGCUGUUUGGCAAAGAAUAUCUGCUAUAAGACAAUGGAUAUUUGCAAGGAAGAAUGUACGAAAAAAUCUUAUUCCAGCAGACUAGCGCCUGGAAACAAUCCUCCUUUGCCCUCCCAUAAGAUCUAAAAAUAUGAUAUUGGUUUGUUAAGUAAAAAAUAAGUUAUGAAAUUUAUAUGCAGAUGACAAUCAUUGUUGAUUAAGAAUCAAAAA
Long non-coding RNA from Lolium perenne, 461 nucleotides. RefSeq lists it as uncharacterized. The record is from RefSeq and is a predicted model, not a curated record. Lineage: Eukaryota; Viridiplantae; Streptophyta; Magnoliopsida; Poales; Poaceae.